Molecule: long non-coding RNA, 1177 nt
Filed under: Fukomys damarensis (Damara mole-rat)
Lineage: Eukaryota; Metazoa; Chordata; Mammalia; Rodentia; Bathyergidae
Description: lncRNA (ENSFDAG00000030210.1)
Source: RNAcentral
CGACUUCUGCCACAUAUUCCCUUUCUACUUUUUUUUUUUUUUUUUUUUUUUAGCUCAGUCCAGUCAGAGCCACAACCAAGUUUUCAUUUCUGUCCCUCUUUUGGUUUUGAUUCUGCUUUUUUUUGGUACCAGGGAUCAAAUUCAGGUCCUUGUGCUUGCGAAGCAGGCAGUGGAACCACUGAGCUAAAUUCCCAGCCCCUGAUUCUGUGUUUUAAUCAAACAUUUACCAUUUCUCAUCCAUUGUGUUUUCUCAGAGAGCAAGUCCUGCUGCCCAAAGAUUUGCACCUGUUACAAUCUUCCCAGCUCUCCAUGGGUGGGAGGCAGAGGUGUAGGAAUGGAUCUCCACAUUCAGAAGUGAGGCUGGACAAAGGAAGAGUCCAGGAGAGGGCUGAGCGUUGGGACCAGCAGCAGCACUGAGAUGCAUCGCCUGUGCAUCCUGGCCAGGAAAACAUGCAAACAGACUUUGAGUCAAAGGUGAGAGGAAGAAGGACGAGGCGGAGUGAAGGAACUUCACCUGGGGAGUGGAGCAGCCAAGGCCUGGAACGGACAUGUGCGCUCCACGAUUUGUGCUCUCCUGUAAAUUAAUUAACCCAAAGUGCUUGUUUGAUUAGUGUGGGGGUGGGGAAUUGAGCAGCGAACAGUACCUCGCACCCAGUUUAGAAUUAUGCUCACAAAAGAGAGGGACCGGAGCAUUGCCUUCCUCGAUCUGAACUCAGCAGGGACAUCUUGGCUGGGACAAACUUUCAGCCGCCAUGGCAGAGCGGGGACAGAGGGGCUCUGAGGCUCUCAGGAGAGCAGGCCUCUGGCUCCCCAGCCUUUCCUGCUCCCCGCUGCUCACCUGCACACUGCAUAGAAACGUUUGGAAUUUCUUUCUUGAUGGAACUGUGGAUAUUUAUUACUCGUGAAGGCCCUGGGAGAAUUCAGUCUGUACAGUGCCCAGAGAGCCACAGUUGAAGACACUGUCUUCGUUUAUAAAGAAAGGAGUUUGUGAGCUGGAGGCUGGGAAGUUGGAGAGCAUGUGGACAACAUCUGCUCAGCCUCUGGCCCGGGCUCCUUGCUGCAUCCUGUCAUGGAGGAGGGCGUGAAGAGGACAUCGCAGGGCAGGAAGAGCAAGUGUGCUGGCCUCUUUUACGAAACCGCUGCUGCCGUCCGAGGCCUCUCCUCUCACAGCCCCGGC